Molecule: non-coding RNA, 20 nt
Filed under: Arabidopsis thaliana (thale cress)
Lineage: Eukaryota; Viridiplantae; Streptophyta; Magnoliopsida; Brassicales; Brassicaceae
Source: RNAcentral
AUGUUCUGGGCCGCACGCGC